Long non-coding RNA from Culex quinquefasciatus (southern house mosquito), 966 nucleotides. RefSeq lists it as uncharacterized. The transcript has 2 exons. Lineage: Eukaryota; Metazoa; Arthropoda; Insecta; Diptera; Culicidae. The record is from RefSeq and is a predicted model, not a curated record.
AUUGUUCGUUCGUUUUUGUUUUCGUGGCACGGAGUGAUGCACUCACACUUAUGUAAAUCAAGAUCGCGAGUACCUAUGAUACACUGAAAAUACGCCACCCUUUUUUUCCAAGUGCCCAAACACUUGAAUGAUUCAAUUAAGCCGCAUCUUAGAUCUAAUUUGUUUGUGUUUCAAUUUCAAUCCAAUCCAUUAUUAAAUUCAAGUGUUUUGGCGAUUGACUUUUUGGUAUUUUUUGACACCUUAUUUUCAUUCGGGUGGCUCAAAAAUUACAAGUGUUUUGCUCAUGAAUUUGCCCCACUGUGUUGAACUAUUCAAAGUGAUGAGGAAAACACUUGAAAUUGAUCUUGUUUUGAUUUGAAAUGCAGGUUCGCGACAGCUUCAUGAGGCUUUGCUUUGUUUCCUCAUUUGAAAGUUUUGGCCGUCCGGUGUGUUCGUUUUUCGCAGACCGCGUGAGUUCGCUGCCGCUAUGUUCCAGUCCAGUAAAUUGCCUGCCCGGAUUGUGACCGUGAAGAUGAGCAUCGCCACAAGACUGCGUCCUCGGGCUCGGGCUCCGUAUGGCCAGCGGAAGGGCUUGGUCUCCCGGAUUCCCGGAUAGAAGCCAACUUUUGUGAUAAAGUUCCUUUCCGGACUAUUUGGAAGGAUGCGAAAGAGCUGCAGAUGCCGUACCAGGAAGCGGUGCCAGUGAGAAGCAAGAUUCGGAUGCAGGGGCCAAGCUAUGCGUCAUUCGGAUGGUCAAGGCACAGUUUGAGUCGAUGGAACCACCGCGGUUCUACCAAAGAGAAUUCCGCAUCAACAAGAAGAUUCUGCAGUGGCCUCCAUCUCCGCCGGCACCGGUGCUUCACUCGCCGACGCUGAGGAACCUCCCAGGAAGCAGUGGUGGUGUCGGGACAACCGGAUGAAAAAAAUUACAAAAUUUUUACACACCAAGUUGUUCUUGAAGUUAGAAAAUAAAAGCAGCCAAAAAAA